AGCGAACGCUGGCGGCAGGCCUAACACAUGCAAGUCGAACGAACCUUUCGGGGUUCGUGGCGGACGGGUGAGUAACACGUGGGAACGUGCCUUUAGGUUCGGAAUAACUCAGGGAAACUUGUGCUAAUACCGAAUGUGCCCUUCGGGGGAAAGAUUAAUCGCCUUUAGAGCGGCCCGCGUCUGAUUAGCUAGUUGGUUGAGGUAAUGGCUCACCAAGGCGACGAUCAGUAGCUGGUCUGAGAGGAUGAUCAGCCACAUUGGGACUGAGACACGGCCCAAACUCCUACGGGAGGCAGCAGUGGGGAAUCUUGCGCAAUGGGCGAAAGCCUGACGCAGCCAUGCCGCGUGAAUGAUGAAGGUCUUAGGAUUGUAAAAUUCUUUCACCGGGGACGAUAAUGACGGUACCCGGAGAAGAAGCCCCGGCUAACUUCGUG
Molecule: ribosomal RNA, 434 nt
Filed under: uncultured bacterium
Lineage: Bacteria
Description: partial 16S ribosomal RNA
Rfam family: Bacterial small subunit ribosomal RNA
Source: RNAcentral